AACUUAUCUCAACUACAUCAGUCUGGAUGUAGCUUGGAUGUGGGGGGUAUCUGCAGGCUUGAAAUGAAGUCUGCUCCUCUGAAAUACAUUAGUGGUGACUGAGGCUGCUGCUAUAGGUGUGAUAAAUAUCUAUGCCUUAUGCGCAGUUGGAUUGCACUGCUUCUAACAAAUUUUAUCGUUUGACAA
Molecule: unclassified non-coding RNA, 186 nt
Filed under: uncultured Inocybe
Lineage: Eukaryota; Fungi; Basidiomycota; Agaricomycetes; Agaricales; Cortinariaceae
Description: sequence contains ITS2
Source: RNAcentral